Molecule: unclassified non-coding RNA, 394 nt
Filed under: Hevea brasiliensis (rubber tree)
Lineage: Eukaryota; Viridiplantae; Streptophyta; Magnoliopsida; Malpighiales; Euphorbiaceae
Source: RNAcentral
GCGCCAAAGCUGCUGUCGAGGUUGGUGGUAAGGAUCUUCUAUUAUAGAGAAAAUCAUCGGCGGCACCGCCCUCACGGACGACAGUGAUGGGAAUUCCUUCUGAUCUGCGAGACGCAUGGGUGAGCAAGCGGAGUUCCUCCAUCAUCGCAUCAUCUCCCAACGAGCAAUCUCUCACCGGCAUCGAUAGACCUCAUGACGGCGAACCCCUCGGACGAUGAUGCUGGUGUGACAAUGUGGACACCCACUACAUAUUCAUGCACCGCACUCCCCUUCCCCCAAAGAGAGCUCCCAUGGGCCCCUGUUGCCAGCAGCCCUCCAACAGUAACCCCCCACCAGUACGGCCCAUAAGGCAGUGCGAGCCCCACCACCGCCGCGGCCUCAAUCAGCUCCUUCA